RNAcentral lists this ribosomal RNA (1077 nucleotides) under Enterococcus cecorum. RNAcentral describes it as "23S ribosomal RNA (partial)". It matches the Rfam family "Bacterial large subunit ribosomal RNA", at positions 406 to 1487 of the family's 2925-position model. Lineage: Bacteria; Bacillati; Bacillota; Bacilli; Lactobacillales; Enterococcaceae. The record is from RNAcentral.
UCCUGAGUACGGCGGAACACGAGAAAUUCCGUCGGAAUCUAGGAGGACCAUCUCCUAAGGCUAAAUACUCCCUAGUGACCGAUAGCGAACCAGUACCGUGAGGGAAAGGUGAAAAGCACCCCGGGAGGGGAGUGAAAUAGAACCUGAAACCGUGUGCCUACAACAAGUUAGAGCCCGUUAAUGGGUGAUAGCGUGCCUUUUGUAGAAUGAACCGGCGAGUUACGAUUGCAUGCGAGGUUAAGUUGAAGAGACGGAGCCGUAGCGAAAGCGAGUCUGAAUAGGGCGAUAGAGUAUGUAGUCGUAGACCCGAAACCAUGUGAUCUACCCAUGUCCAGGUUGAAGGUGCGGUAAAACGCACUGGAGGACCGAACCAGGACACGUUGAAAAGUGUUUGGAUGAGGUGUGGGUAGCGGAGAAAUUCCAAACGAACUUGGAGAUAGCUGGUUCUCUCCGAAAUAGCUUUAGGGCUAGCCUCGGAAGUAAGAAUGAUGGAGGUAGAGCACUGUUUGGACUAGGGGCCCAUCUCGGGUUACCGAAUUCAGAUAAACUCCGAAUGCCAUUCAUUUAUAUCCGGGAGUCAGACUGCGAGUGAUAAGAUCCGUAGUCGAAAGGGAAACAGCCCAGACCACCAGCUAAGGUCCCCAAAUGUAUGUUAAGUGGAAAAGGAUGUGGGGUUGCACAGACAACUAGGAUGUUGGCUUAGAAGCAGCCACCAUUUAAAGAGUGCGUAAUAGCUCACUAGUCGAGUGACCCUGCGCCGAAAAUGUACCGGGGCUAAACAUACUACCGAAGCUGUGGAUUGUACUUACGUACAAUGGUAGGAGAGCGUUCUAAGGGCGUUGAAGGUAGAUCGUGAGGACUGCUGGAGCGCUUAGAAGUGAGAAUGCCGGUAUGAGUAGCGAAAGACAGGUGAGAAUCCUGUCCACCGAAUAACUAAGGUUUCCUGGGGAAGGCUCGUCCGCCCAGGGUUAGUCGGGACCUAAGCCGAGGCCGACAGGCGUAGGCGAUGGACAACAGGUUGAUAUUCCUGUACUCGUUGUUUUCGUUUGAGCAAUGGAGGGACGCAGGAGGCUAGGA